AUGCAAACAAGUCCAAGAAUCUGCUGCCCAUCUUCUUUUCCAAUUAGAUUCACCACCCGCGUCUGGACCGAGGUGGUCAACUGGCUUGGCAUUCAGGACCACUCACCGCUGACUUGGUGCCACGAAGACACGGUUCAAGAUUGGUGGCUGAAGACGAUCAACACGGGAGGGCAUAUCAAGAAAGCGAUUGGCUCUGUUCUGAUGCUUGUCAUGUGGGAAAUUUAGAAGGAGCGAAACGCGAGAGUUUUUCGUAACACGGCUUCACCGACCACUAUUAUCACUGCCAAGGUCAAAGAGGAGGCCCGACUUUGGGCGUUGGCGGGAGCCAAACACAUGAGUGCAAUUAUGUCGCGAGAGUAG
RNAcentral lists this ribosomal RNA (360 nucleotides) under Triticum aestivum (bread wheat). RNAcentral's name for it is "partial small subunit ribosomal RNA". The record is from RNAcentral. Lineage: Eukaryota; Viridiplantae; Streptophyta; Magnoliopsida; Poales; Poaceae.